GACGAACGCUGGCGGCGUGCUUAACACAUGCAAGUCGAACGGUGAAGCGCCUUCCUUUUUGGUGGGUGUGGAUGAGUGGCGAACGGGUGAGUAACACGUGAGUAACCUGCCCCCUUCUUCUGGAUAACCGCAUGAAAGUGUGGCUAAUACGGGAUAUUCUGGGUCUGUCGCAUGAUGGGUCUGGGAAAGAUAUUGUUUCGGUGGGGGAUGGGCUCGCGGCCUAUCAGCUUGUUGGUGGGGUGAUGGCCUACCAAGGCGGUGACGGGUAGCCGGCCUGAGAGGGUGGACGGUCACACUGGGACUGAGACACGGCCCAGACUCCUACGGGAGGCAGCAGUGGGGAAUAUUGCACAAUGGGCGCAAGCCUGAUGCAGCGACGCCGCGUGAGGGAUGGAGGCCUGCGGGUUGUGAACCUCUUUCGCCAGUGAAGCAGGCCUGCCUCGUUUGUGGGUGGGUUGACGGUAGCUGGAUAAGAAGCGCCGGCUAACUACGUG
RNAcentral lists this ribosomal RNA (494 nucleotides) under uncultured bacterium. RNAcentral's name for it is "partial 16S ribosomal RNA". It matches the Rfam family "Bacterial small subunit ribosomal RNA", at positions 28 to 507 of the family's 1533-position model. The record is from RNAcentral.